Molecule: small RNA, 516 nt
Filed under: Histoplasma capsulatum
Lineage: Eukaryota; Fungi; Ascomycota; Eurotiomycetes; Onygenales; Ajellomycetaceae
Also listed under: 1 other name
Description: hypothetical RNA
Source: RNAcentral
GGCUCCAUAGCUUUGUCCUCGUCAUCUCUCUCUCUCACUCACCCACACGCACACACACAUAUAUAUAUAUAUAUACAAUAUUGAAGAGAACUGACGGCAGAGGCUAGUCUUGAACAUUGCUCCGGAAACAUUCGAGAAGAUCAGUAGCUAUCUUUCCUACCCCAGUCAGCUCGGACGUUCUGCUCAGAUUCGCCGAUCUGAUAUGAAGAUCUUGUUGAUCACUCUUUUCAUAGUACGGAUACGUCUGUAUGUAACUAUCGAUGGUCAGAAGGAAGCUCUCGUUUGCUUUCUGUGGACGGGGUUUCUUCAAUGGGUAUGUGUAUUACUGAUUCAUUCUUUUUCCUUGGGGUAAAUAAAUACUCCUUCUGAUUGACUGAAUUGCAAUCCAGCAUCCAAUCGACAGAGCGCGCGGCACGUAUGCUUUGGCUGAAUCCCGGUAAAAGUUCUCAACCUGUAUAUAUAUCUCUAGCCCAGUCCAAGUCUCCCCGUUGUAUAUAUAUAAAAUUUACUGCCAGG